RNAcentral lists this ribosomal RNA (456 nucleotides) under uncultured bacterium. RNAcentral's name for it is "partial 16S ribosomal RNA". It matches the Rfam family "Bacterial small subunit ribosomal RNA", at positions 355 to 823 of the family's 1533-position model. The record is from RNAcentral.
UGGGGAAUAUUGCACAAUGGGCGAAAGCCUGAUGCAGCGACGCCGCGUGAGGGAUGACGGCCUUCGGGUUGUAAACCUCUUUCAGCAGGGAAGAAGCGAAAGUGACGGUACCUGCAGAAGAAGCGCCGGCUAACUACGUGCCAGCAGCCGCGGUAAUACGUAGGGCGCAAGCGUUGUCCGGAAUUAUUGGGCGUAAAGAGCUCGUAGGCGGUUAGUCGCGUCUGCUGUGAAAACUCGAGGCUCAACCUCGGGCUUGCAGUGGGUACGGGCUGACUAGAGUGCGGUAGGGGUGACUGGAAUUCCUGGUGUAGCGGUGGAAUGCGCAGAUAUCAGGAGGAACACCGAUGGCGAAGGCAGGUCACUGGGCCGCAACUGACGCUGAGGAGCGAAAGCAUGGGGAGCGAACAGGAUUAGAUACCCUGGUAGUCCAUGCCGUAAACGUUGGGCACUAGGUGU